CUGUUCUUAGCAAUCCUUUCCAGAAAGAUAGAGAACAUUUCUUGUUAAGGGAACUAGUCCAGCAUACUGUGAUGUUAAUGGAAUGAGUUUAUUUAAUACUACCUAACAAAACCAACGUAGUCAAGGGCAAACAAUUAACAUUAAAAAAAGUCUUCCAAAUUUAGACGGCCCUCUGGGAGCUUUAAUAACGGUCUUUCACAUUUUCAUCAUUAGCUAGG
This 218-nucleotide long non-coding RNA is filed under the name Mytilus galloprovincialis (Mediterranean mussel). The record is from RNAcentral. Lineage: Eukaryota; Metazoa; Mollusca; Bivalvia; Mytilida; Mytilidae.